RNAcentral lists this non-coding RNA (22 nucleotides) under Rattus norvegicus (Norway rat). The record is from RNAcentral. Lineage: Eukaryota; Metazoa; Chordata; Mammalia; Rodentia; Muridae.
GUGAUGAUGAAGUAACAGAAGC